Paramisgurnus dabryanus is the source of this 370-nucleotide long non-coding RNA. RefSeq lists it as uncharacterized. Lineage: Eukaryota; Metazoa; Chordata; Actinopteri; Cypriniformes; Cobitidae. The record is from RefSeq and is a predicted model, not a curated record.
UACAGGAAUAUGUGAAUUGCACUGCGGGAUUUGCAAACUUUACAGCGCAUCUUCAAAAUGAUACAUGGGUUUGUGUGGGGCCAUGUGAAAAUAAUACGAAUUACUGCAGUAAACGUGGUCAAUGCUUCAAUGAGAUAAAUGGACCACAAUGCCAGUGUGAUCGAUCAAACUUUGAGGAGUACUAUGGAACCAACUGUGAGCUUUACCGCAGAGGAGCCGCUUUCUAUGCUGCUCUGUUUGGGAGUUUAGCAGCUUUUAUUGUGAUUGUCAUUGUUGUGAUUGUUGUGGUUGUGGUUCUUCAUAGAUCCAGCAGCAGGGUUCAUUCUAAAGAAAGUGCCAUUUACGAGGUAUGUUUGCUUUUUGUUGCGUU